This 305-nucleotide ribosomal RNA is filed under the name uncultured bacterium. RNAcentral's name for it is "bacterial SSU rRNA". It matches the Rfam family "Bacterial small subunit ribosomal RNA", at positions 335 to 657 of the family's 1533-position model. The record is from RNAcentral.
UACCUACGGGAGGCAGCAGUGGGGGAUAUUGCACAAUGGGGGGAACCCUGAUGCAGCGACGCCGCGUGGGUGAAGGAGCGUUUCGGCGCGUAAAGCCCUAUCGGCAGGGAAGAAGGAGGACGGUACCUGACUAAGAAGCCCCGGCUAACUACGUGCCAGCAGCCGCGGUAAUACGUAGGGGGCAAGCGUUAUCCGGAUUUACUGGGUGUAAAGGGCGUGCAGCCGGGAAGACAAGUCAGAUGUGAAAUCCCGCGGCUCAACCGCGGAACUGCAUUUGAAACCGUUUUUCUUGAGUACCGGAGAGG